Molecule: non-coding RNA, 594 nt
Organism: Lactuca sativa (garden lettuce)
Lineage: Eukaryota; Viridiplantae; Streptophyta; Magnoliopsida; Asterales; Asteraceae
Source: RefSeq, a predicted model, not a curated record
UCAAUCUGUGAAAAAAAAUCAUUGAAAUUAAUCUGUAUAUGUUGGGCACAAUGGCUGGAGGAGCUGCAGAUUGUUAAAAAUGGGAGUUUUAUCGCCAAGAUGUCCAGUACAUUGUUAAAAAUGGGAAAGCUCUUAUAAUAAACGAGGUAUUAAAAACAUCGUAUUUUUAUUUUAGGAGAAAAAACUAGUUAUAUUGCUGUAAAUUAAUGUUCAUUUGAAGUUGACGGGGAGAGUGGAAGAAAAAAGACGAUGGUCAGAGGGGAUUCACCUGCCUGUGGAGGCAAAAGAAGGGUUACCAAUCUAGGUAUAUAUUGCGAUUGCCUGCCACAUCAUCAUUCUUUUUGACAACUCUUGUUUAAAGCUAUUACCUUGUAUUCCUCUUGGGCUUUGCAGGCUGAUUCAGUUGUAGUGGCACAAAUCACAUACCAAUCAAUGUUUAAGCUUUAUCCAAAGCUUUCAGGGAUGACAGGAACUGCAAAAACUGAAGAAAAGGAGUUCUUGAAAAUGUUCCAGAUGCCUGUUAUUGAAGUUCCCACAAAUAUGGCAAAUAUUCGUCAUGAUUUACCUAUCCAAGCUUUUGCAAAUGCUCGUGGA